This 834-nucleotide long non-coding RNA is filed under the name Microcebus murinus (gray mouse lemur). Its description in RNAcentral is "lncRNA (ENSMICG00000048862.1)". Lineage: Eukaryota; Metazoa; Chordata; Mammalia; Primates; Cheirogaleidae. The record is from RNAcentral.
AGACAAUAUAUGUAACCUAAACAUUUGUACCCCUACAAUAAUCUGAAAUAAAAAAUAGGAUGGUGCACAUAAGUUAAAAAAAUAAAAUCCCCACUAGUUAAUUUUUUACUGCCAUGUACUUGCCAAACCUUCGUUAUCUUUGCAAAUACCUUGCAAAGUGUGGUUUAAAUGAGCCUGGAGUUUUAAAUUUUUUCCUACAUAUUUUCUGGGUUUAAUUGGCAUUCGGUAAAGUCCUUCACUAUUUAAGAGUGGUUUGGUUCUGGGAUGUAUGUUACCUCCUUCCAAAUCCAGGGAUAUAAAACUGUCUUUAAAUAUAUUUAAAUAAAAUUUAAAUGCUUUAAAAAUUGCAGCCCAAAGUGUAUGUUUUUAAGAGCUGUGUAAGUAAUUUAAGAGGCUUACUGUGGCUUUGUCUUCAACAGAUGCUUGAGAACAAUCUCAAAGGGAACACAUCCACCAGUGAAGCCGUGGCUGAUGAAAUUAUUUAAAAAAAAAAAGCUUUCUGAAAAUGGUGGAGAAAAGCUGGCCACAGGUAUGGAAACCCUCCAGGUUAAUCGGGAAAGCACAAGAGGACAGAGACGACCUACAGAGAAGCGGCUGAGACCAGACAGGUGCUGAACUCUCUGCAGUGGGGGAAAUUCUCCAUGCAUCUCUGCACUUCCGCACAUCUUGUAAACAAGACACACUGACAGCUUUCAUUCCAGGCUGUCUUUUCUUCCAGACUAUCCAGGUGCCGGCAUCCUGAACACAGACUGUCUCUCCCCAGGACAGAAGGUAUGUGUGUUGCUGACCAUAUAACAAGGAUAAUGCCUCCUCCUGAUGCAGAGAUUGGGCAGC